AGCAGCCGCGGUAAUUCCAGCUCCAAUAGCGUAUAUUAAAGUUGUUGCAGUUAAAAAGCUCGUAGUUGAACUUCGGGGUUCACCCAUUGGUCAGGCUUAAUUGUCUGUACUGGUGAGAUGAAUCUCUACCUUCUGAGGAACUUUCAUGCCAUUUAUUUGGUGUGAUGGGAAAUCAGGACUGUUACUUUGAAAAAAUUAGAGUGUUUAAAGCAGGCUAACGUCUGAAUACAUUAGCAUGGAAUAAUGAAAUAGGACGGAUUGAUUCUAUUUCGUUGGUUUCUAGGGUCACCGUAAUGAUUAAUAGGGAUAGUUGGGGGCAUUAGUAUUCAAUUGUCAGAGGUGAAAUUCUUGGAUUUAUUGAAGACUAACUACUGCGAAAGCAUUUGCCAAGGAUGUUUUCAUUAAUCAAGAACGAAAGUUAGGGGAUCGAAGACGAUCAGAUACCGUCGUAGUCUUAACCAUAAACUAUGCCGACUAGGGAUCGGACGAAGUUAAUUAAUAAUGACGCGUUCGGCACCG
Molecule: ribosomal RNA, 519 nt
Filed under: uncultured Diversispora
Lineage: Eukaryota; Fungi; Glomeromycota; Glomeromycetes; Diversisporales; Diversisporaceae
Description: SSU rRNA
Rfam family: Eukaryotic small subunit ribosomal RNA
Source: RNAcentral